Molecule: ribosomal RNA, 515 nt
Filed under: uncultured bacterium
Lineage: Bacteria
Description: partial 16S ribosomal RNA
Rfam family: Bacterial small subunit ribosomal RNA
Source: RNAcentral
GAUGAACGCUGGCGGCGUGCCUAAUACAUGCAAGUCGAGCGAAUGGAUUAAGAGCUUGCUCUUAUGAAGUUAGCGGCGGACGGGUGAGUAACACGUGGGUAACCUGCCCAUAAGACUGGGAUAACUCCGGGAAACCGGGGCUAAUACCGGAUAACAUUUUGAACCGAAUGGUUCGAAAUUGAAAGGCGGCUUCGGCUGUCACUUAUGGAUGGACCCGCAUCGCAUUAGCUAGUUGGUGAGGUAACGGCUCACCAAGGCAACGAUGCGUAGCCGACCUGAGAGGGGGAUCGGCCACACUGGGACUGAGACACGGCCCAGACUCCUACGGGAGGCAGCAGUAGGGAAUCUUCCGCAAUGGACGAAAGUCUGACGGAGCAACGCCGCGUGAGUGAUGAAGGCUUUCGGGUCGUAAAACUCUGUUGUAAGGGAAGAACAAGUGCUAGUUGAAUGAGCUGGCACCUUGACGGUACCUAACCAGAAAGCCACGGCUAACUACGUGCCAGCCGCCGCGGUAA